Molecule: long non-coding RNA, 19714 nt
Filed under: Zea mays
Lineage: Eukaryota; Viridiplantae; Streptophyta; Magnoliopsida; Poales; Poaceae
Description: long non-coding RNA (ZMAY_LNC002470)
Source: RNAcentral
ACAACUUCAAGGACCUUCAUCACGAGGGUCACAACCAUGACAACCUUUGUUAGGACGCAUACAAUUUCCAAGACUUCAUGUAUGAUGAAGCUUCACCGCUGAUACUAGAAUUGCAGGCCACACUAUGGCCACUACUAUGCAGACCUCCCACAUUGCUAGUGUAUGAUGGUGUAACACCCCACUGAUCCCACACAAUGGAUGAUACCAAAAAAAACCUUUCUACAAAACUUAUGCAACACAUAGAGAAAGAAAGUAUUGCAAAAUCCGGCAACACCUCCCUUGAAAGUAGCAUAACAAGGGAAGCAUAUAGUUUAUACAGGAUAUAAAAGAAAGAUAAUUGACAUAGUAUAAUCAAAAUGCAACGGUAGAAAAGAACAUUCAUGACCAGACAAAAGAUAGACAUCUCAGCCCACCAAACUAAACAGUUCAACUACCAUGAAAGAUUAGAAUGUAAUAAUUCCCUAGACUUGACCCUUCCUGUUUAACAUCAUUAAUAAUCAGUUAUUCCUUUAUUUAAAAGUGUGGUGGCCGUGCUGCUACAUCCCUUCUUUCCCAAAGCAAAGAUCAGGUGCCUGCAUCAGACAAUGCAAGAGUGAGAUGACACAUCUCAGCAAGUAAAAAAAACAAACAACAGUUGGACAAUGCAAGCCAACCGUGCAUAAGCAACCACAUGGUUCCCAACUUCUUCCUUAAAUAUUAAUUUGCAGCAAGUAAGCAAGUAAUCAAUUACUCAAUGCCAAGAUGAAUUACAAAGUAAAGAUCCACCUUAUCCACAUCACCAAAAUAGGUUCCACACUUCACCCAUGAAUGCACAUGGCUACAGAUGCAACAUGACUUCUGCCUUCAUACCUCUAAGGAUAUGAAGCUGCAUCAUACCCCUUCUUGGGAAACAUAUGAUGCUCAUUGUACCGGUACGGUCGGACCAUAAGAUCGCGACGAAAACUUCAAUGCAAUGGAUGAUGAAUGCAUUAUGCAUGUCAACAACAUGAGUUCUUCCCAAAUAAAAUGUGCUAGACAUAUACUUCCACCCAUUUCACAUCAAUAACCACAUGGGUAACAUGAUCAAACCACACCCUCCACAUGUAUAAUCAAUAAAGCAUGAAUAAUUUCAAACGAUGGUACCCAAUUAGGAAUAUGGAUACGAACACAAAUAGCACAAACAUAAUCAAGUAUGAGACUCUUCAAUCAAAAGACGAAAUAACCAUCACUGUUUUACUUGCCUUUACCGAAGUUCGGGCAAAAUCCCUAAGAACGAUCCGGAAGUCCACCACCUGUUUUUGACACCCAACUUAGUGCACCAAAUUCUCAUGAAAAAACUCAAAGACAACACUGCACCUACGCGCAAUCUCAAACCCCGCCGCGGUAACAAUUCUCCCCUCACUAACCAAACUGCAGCGGCGCUGCUUAACAAUUCCAUAACUUAAAAUUUAGGACAGCAGUGAUGAUAAACAAAAACUUCAGAGACAACUACAUAAAAUUCCCCACAAGUUUUGUAUACAACUCAUGAUUGAAUUCUAACAUCUACUUACCUCUAAACGGUCCUCAAAAUAAACUCUGCAAUCUGUUUUUUUUUUCUGAUUUGAGCAGCGUCAUACGCGGAUUCAAACAGCGAUAACUUUUAAAAUAUAAUUCCGAUUUGAGCGCAUAAGUACUUGUUGGAAAGAUAAGAAAAAGCCCUACAUGAUUCUCAUACUGAUUAACACUAAUUACUCCCGAAACAUCCCCAGAAACUGCUAACACUGCUGCUGUUCAUCACUCUGAAAAAUCUGUUUUCUGGACAGCCACAUACCCGGAUUCAAACGAUGAUAACUUUUAAUUUAUAACUCCAAAUUGAGCGCAUAAAUACUCGUUGGAAAGAUAAAACAAAGUUCUACAAGAUUCUCAUACUGAUUAACACUAAUUGCUCCCGAAAAAUCCCCAGAAACUGCUAACACUGCUGCUGUUCAUCACUCUGAAAAAUCUGUUUUCUGGACAGCCACAUACCCGGAUUCAAACGAUGAUAACUUUUAAUUUAUAACUCCAAAUUGAGCGCAUAAAUACUCGUUGGAAAGAUAAAACAAAGUUCUACAAGAUUCCCAAAUUGAUCCCCAUUAAAUCUUCACGAAAAAAAAACUAAAAACUGCUGGAACUACCGCUGUUCAUCCACCACGCAAAAUUCUGGACAGCCCCCCUCUAUCUAAUCGCAAACGCAACAUCUAAUCAAUUGAAUCGCAGCGCAAAUGAACAAGGGAUGAACACAAAAGAAAAAUCACCUUGGGUUCUCCCCUUUUCCUUCCUCCCUUCUUCCUUCCACCAAAACGAUUGGAGAUUCGCACCAAAAGACGAUGAUCCGAGCGGCACGGAGUAGCACCUAGGGAGGAGGGGAUUGGGGGGGGAGGCGGCUAGGGUUUUGGUGGCUGCAACAAUGGAGGGAGGAGGAGGUGGGCAGGGGGGGCAGCGGCCAAGGGGAAAGGAGGAGUGGGGGGGCGGCUGCACAUGGGGGGGUAGUUAGGAGGGUGGCGGCUAGGGUUUGGGAGGGCUAAUGGGCCGAAACACCAAUUGCGGCCCAACUAACCCACGCGACAGCUCCCGACCACAACGCAAACGUCAAACCAAAUAAAUUCUACUGCCCUAGUUGCGAAUGUUGUUCACAAAAUUCCAAAUCCCCAAAACAACAACUGGUUGAGGGAAAAAAACAAAAAGAACAACCCCCAACUUCUCUUCUUUGCAAACCGGGUAUCACAUUCUACCCCUCUUAAAAGAAUUCGACCUCGAAUUCUGACGCUUCUAUCGGAAUGACACAAGAAAAGAUUAGCGAAUCAACAACACUUACCCACAACGAAAAGUUCCGGGUACUUCUGCCGCAUCAACUCCUCAAGUUCCCACGUAGCCUCGCGCUCUGACUGAUUAGACCAUAAGACCUUGACAUACUUAAUUGAUCUCUUCCUCAACACACGCUCCGAGAAUUCCAAUAUACGCACCGGACGGCACUCCAGAGUCAGAUCCUGCUGCACCGCAAUUGGUUCCAUCUCAAUCUGAUGGUCCGGAUCCCGCAAGAACUUCCUCAACAUAGAGACAUGAAAAACCGGGUGUACCCCUGCCAUGGAAUCCGGCAGCAGCAAGCGAUAAGCCAGGCUGCCCACUCGAGCCAAGAUAGUGAACGGUCCAAUGUAUCUUGGGCUGAGCUUCCCAGAGACACCGAACCGAACAACUCCCUUAGUGGGUGAUACCCUGAGAAGGACUUGGUCACCCACAGCAAAUUCCAGAUCCCGCCUCCUCACAUCAGCAUAACUCUUCUGACGACUCUGAGCUGCCAAAAUAUUCUGACGAAUUUCCCGAACCUUUUCAGAAGUUUGCUGAACCCAAUCAGGACCAACCAGGGAUCUCUCUCCCAAAGUCUCCCAGCACAGAGGAGAGAUACACCGCCUGCCAUACAAAGCCUCAAAUGGUGCCAUCUUGAUGCUAGCUUGGUAGCUGUUGUUAUACGCAAACUCUGCCAGAGCAAGAUGGUCCUCCCAGCUACCCUUCCAUGACAGAACACAAGCACGCAACAUAUCCUCCAAGGUUUGGAUUGUUCGCUCUGACUGAGCAUCCGUCUGAGGGUGAAAAGCGACACUAAGCGAAAGCUUGGUGCCCAAUGCACUGUGGAGACUCUCCUAGAAUUUGGAUACAAAUUUGGAGUCUCGAUCAGAAACAAUAGACUUAGGUACCCCGUGAAGCCUGACUACUUCCUUCAUAUACAAGGGAACCAAAUCUGAAGUUGAAUUCGUGGUCUUCAUGGGAAUAAAAUGCGCAGACUUAGUCAAGCGAUCCACUACCACCCAAAUAGCAUCCCUGCCACGAGGGGAACGAGGUAGACCCACCACAAAAUCCAUGGUGAUAUGCUCCCAUUUCCACUCUGGAAUUUCCAAUGGCUUCAGCAAACCUGCAGGCCGCUUAUGUUCGGCCUUCACGCGCUGACAUACUUCACAGGCGGCCACAUACUUAGAAAUGUCAACCUUCAUCCGCUUCCACCAGAAGUUUUGCUUCAAAUCUCCGUACAUUUUGGUUUCGCCAGGAUGGACGGUGUAAGGAGUUUUAUGAGCUUCUCGCAGGAUAUCCAGCUUCACCUCUGAUUUCUGAGGCACACAAAGACGGCCCCUGAAACGAACCAAAUCAUUCUCAUCAAUGGUGAACUCCCGCGGUUUACCAUCACCAACCCUCCUUCGGGCUUCCUGCAAAAGACGAUCCUGCUGCUGAGCCGCACGCACUCUCUCCAUAAGAGAGGAUUGAAUAAGCAUCUGAGUCUCCUCGCUAGCGGUGCCGACAUAACACAAAGCGAUCCCCAAACGGUCCAGAUCAGCGAUCAACGGCAAGGCCACCUUUGGAACCCCGGACCUGCUAAGGGCAUCCGCCACCACAUUAGCCUUCCCCGGGUGAUAAUGAAUGGACAAAUCAUAAUCUUUAAUCAAUUCUAGCCACCGACGCUGCCUCAAAUUCAGCUCCUUCUGGGUAAAAAUAUACUUGAGACUUUUGUGAUCAGUGAAAAUGUCACAAGCCUCGCCAUAAAGGUAAUGCCUCCACGACUUUAGAGCAAAAACCACCGCAGCCAAUUCCAGAUCAUGAGUUGGAUAAUUCCCCUCAUGCUUCCUCAACUGCCUUGAGCCAUAAGCAAUCACCCUGCCUUCCUGCAUCAGCACACAGCCAAGACCAAUACGCGAAGCAUCCGUAUAAACUGUGAAACGCUUACCGCUCUCAGGCAAAGCUAGGAUAGGAGCGUCCACCAACUUGCUCUUCAAUGACUGAUAACUGAUCUCACAAUCGCCGGACCAGACGAAGGGAACACCCUUCCCCAAGAGCCUAGUCAAAGGCUUAGCAAUGCUGGAAAAAUUUGGUACGAAACGCCGAUAAUACCCAGCAAGCCCCAAGAAACUUCGGAUUUCAGAGACACUAGAAGGUCUCUUCCACUCCACUACAGCCGCAACAUUCUUGGGGUCAACCGCAAUACCCUGCUGAUUAAUCACGUGCCCCAGGAAAGCCACUUCAGAUAGCCAAAAGGCACACUUCUUCAACUUGCCAUAGAAUUGAUUCUUCCUUAGGGCACCCAGAACGAGACGGAGAUGCUGAUCAUGCUCGGCCUCAGUCUUUGAAUAAAUCAAAAUAUCAUCUAGGAAUACGACCACAAAAUCGUCCAAGAAUUCAUGCAGCAUCCUAUUCAUUGCUUCCAUAAACGCAGCAGGGGCAUUAGUUAAGCCAAAGGACAUGACUAUGAACUCAUAAUGCCCAUACCUGGUGCAGAAGGCAGUCUUCUCAAUAUCCUCCUCACGAAUCCUCAAUUGAUGAUAACCAGAGUUCAAAUCAAUUUUGGAGAACACCUGGGCACCCCUCAACUGCUCAAAGAGGACCUCAAUUCGGGGAAGCGGAUAUUUAUUCUUGAUUGUCACUUGAUUCAAAGCGCGAUAAUCCACACACAGCCGCUUGCUUUUAUCCUUCUUCUCAACAAACAAUACUGGGGAAGCCCAUGGAGACCUGCUAGGCCUAAUGAAGCCCUUAGCCAGCAGAUCAUCCAAUUGCCGCUUUAAUUCAAUCUGCUCCUUUGGAGCCAUUCGAUACGGGGCCUUAUGAAUAGGCUGCGUACCCGGGAUCAGCUUAAUCUCAAAAGCUGCAUCGCGCUCCGGAGGAAUGCCUGGAAGCUCUGCUGGAAACACGUCAGCAAAGUCACACACCACCCGGAUGUCCUACACCCGCAAGGCAGCCUCGCCCUCCACCACCAUAGAGAAAAAGAUCCCCGACUUCCUUGACCAGCGAUCAGGAAGCAAUUGCGCCAACAAGGAUAAUGUGAACUUUGGAGAACUUCCCAAGAAUACCACCUCCUUACCCGACGGCGCCUACAAUAACACUGUCUUCCAGAAGCAGGAUAUAACCGCGCGAUACUGGGAUAACCAAUCCAUACCCAAGAUAACAUCGAAUGCCCCCAAGGAAAUCACCACCAGAUUAGCCGAAAAAACCUCAUCAGCAAGAAUGACGGAACACCCCUGACAAACUGAACAGCUACUAAUGGAGCCAUUAGCAGAACUGACCAAAAUUGGGUGACCCAACCUCUGCACCGAAAGACCAGCCCGCGACACAAAAUCCUCCGAAACAAACGAAUAGCUAGCGCCAGAGUCAAAAAGAGCAUGGGCUGCAAAUGAAUCAACUGAAAUCGUACCUGUCACCACGUCUCCUUGCUCCCUGCCAUCCGUAGCGGGUAGCACAUAAGCUCCAGAAAUACCCGCAGAAGAGGAAGCUCCCGGAGUGAAAUUAAUAGAAGAACCCCACUGAGCCACCGGAGGAGGCUGGCGCGGAGCUCCAAACUGAGACAGCACAGGGGUAGACGGCGCAGGAGUAGGCACAACCUGAUACUGCGGAAAACCUUGCAUCGGCACGAACUGAGAAGUCCCGGGCACAUAAAGCUGUUGUGGAGGAAGAGGAACUGAAAACUGCUGCUCAGCACUUGACAUCAUAUUGAUAGUGCCCUGAGAAGAGGAGGAAGCUAUCGGCUCCCAUCUGAGCUUCCCAUUGGGAUUCCUCCUACACACCACAUCCUUGUGGUCCUGACUGCAGAUAGAACACCUGCCACUCCACUGACACUCUGCACGGCGAUGCGCAUCUCCACAGCGGAAACACACCAGCCCCAACCCGGGCUUAGGAACGGCCCGAAACCUCUGAGUACUUCCUCCUGAAGUACCUGAGUCAGAAGAUUUGCCACGGUAAGGAUGGUGGCGCUGAUGCUGAGACUUGCCCCUCUUGUGAGCUGGACCUCCAGUGUUGCCCCUCCUCGUGUCCUGGCUACGAGGUUGAUCAACACCCGAAGACUUCUGCGACUCCAUGGUGUACUGGUGUUGCAUCUCCACACCCAGCGCCUGCUCCACUGUGGUACGGAAGUCCACCAACGGAAAGGCCCCAGAGCAUGCCUCAUAGAAGGCUUCAGACCCUGACGGAAUUGGCUCGCCUUCUCCAUCUCAUUAUAAGCCACAUGAGGGACAAAGCAGACCAUUUUGUUGAAGCCCACCUCAUACUCUGUGACAGACUUCUUCUCCUGCUUGUAGGACUGCAAGUCAAUCUUCAUUUUCUCCAGAAAGGUGACCGGGUAGAAUCUCCUUUCGAACUGCCUGAUGAAAACAUCCCAUGAUAGGACUCCUGGUGAGGAGGAGUGCGCUGCCUGCACGCCUCUCCACCAAAUCUGCGCCUCACCCUUCAGCAGCUGAGUGCCAAAGCGAACCCGAUCUUCAUAAGCAAUCUCGAAGACAUUCAUCUUAUCCUCCACAUAAGUCAGCCAAUCUGCCGCCUCGACCGGAGUACCACUGCCAUCAAAAGAAUCCAACUUCAUGCCCAUCCACUGCAUCAGAGAAAGACCAUUGACUGGAAGAGGCACCCCGGCCCCGCCACCAGGAACAGCACCCGCAGGGACAGCGCCCCCGGGCACUUCUCCACCUCCAGCUCCCUGAGCAGCACCUGCAGGGGCGACAGGAAUGGCUUGCCUCAGAAGGGCCAACUCCUGCUGCAUGGCCUGCAUCGCGGCUAACAUUGCCGCCGGACUCAUCGAGUCCCCACUAGGAGCUUGCGGACUACCCCGAGCUCUACGAGGCGGCAUAGCUGAAAGUCGCCUAGAGGGGGGUGAAUAGGGCGAAACUGAAAUUUACAAAUAUAAACACAACUACAAGCCGGGUUAGUGUUAGAAAUAUAAACGAGUCCGUGAGAGAGGCGCAAAACAAAUCCCACGCGAAUAAGCAAGUGAGACACGGAGAUUUGUUUUACCGAGGUUCGGUUCUUGCAAACCUACUCCCCGUUGAGGAGGCCACAAAGGCCGGGUCUCUUUCAACCCUUCCCUCUCUCAAACGAUCCACGGAUCGAGUGAGCUUUCUCUUCUCAAUCACUUGGAACACAAAGUUCCCACAAGGACCACCACAAGUUUGGUGUCUCUUGCCUCAAUUACAAGUGAGUUUGAUUGCAAAGAAAAGAUUAAGAAAGAAGAAAGCAAUCCAAGUGCAAGAGCUCGAAAGAACACAAGCAAAUCACUCUCUCUAAGCACUAUGGCGUUGUGUGGAAUUUGGAGAGGAUUUGAUCUCUUUGGUGUGUCUAGAAUUGAAUGCUAGAGCUCUUGUAGUAGUUGAGAAGUGGAAAACUUGGAUGCAAUGAAUGGUGGGGUGGUUGGGGUAUUUAUAGCCCCAACCACCAAAAGUGGCUGUUGGGAGGCUGUCUGCUCGAUGGCGCACCGGACAGUCCGGUGCACACCGGACAGUCCGGUGCCCCCUGCCACGUCAUCACUGCCGUUGGAUUCUGACCGUUGGAGCUUCUGACUUGUGGGCCCGCCUGGGUGUCCGGUGCACACCGGACAGGUAUUGUUCCUUGUCCGGUGUGCCAGUAUGGGCACGCCUGCCAUCUGCGCGCACAGAGCGCGCAUUUAUUGCGCGGCAGAGAGCCGUUGGCGCGGAGAUAGCCGUUGCACCGGAGUCGCACCGGACAGUCCGGUGCUCACCGGACAGUCCGGUGAAUUAUAGUGGACUUAGCCGUUGGCGUUUCCCGAAGCUGGCGAGUUCCUGAGGCCGACCUCCCUUGGCGCACCGGACACUGUCCGGUGUACACCGGACAGUCCGGUGAAUUAUAGUGGACUUAGCCGUUGGCGUUUCCCGAAGCUGGCGAGUUCCUGAGGCCGACCUCCCUUGGCGCACCGGACACUGUCCGGUGUACACCGGACAGUCCGGUGAAUUAUAGCCGAGUCGCCUUUGGGAAUUCCCGAAGGUGGCAAGUUUGAGUCUGAGUCCCCCUGGCGCACCGGACAUGUCCGGUGGCGCACCGGACAGUCCGGUGCGCCAGACCAGGGGUGCCUUCGGUUGCCCCUUUGCUCCUUUGUUGAAUCCAAAACUUAGUCUUUUUAUUGGCUGAGUGUGAACCUUUUACACCUGUAUAAUCUAUACACUUGGGCAAACUAGUUAGUCCAAAGAUUUGUGUUGGGCAAUCCAACCACCAAAAUUAUAUAGGAACUAGGUGUAACCCUAAUUCCCUUUCAAUCUCCCCCUUUUUGGUGAUUGAUGCCAACACAAACCAAAGCAAAUAUAGAAGUGCAUAAUUGAACUAGUUUACAUAAUAUGAGUGUAAAGGUUGCUUGGAAUUGAGCCAAUAUCAAUACUUACAAGAUAUGCAUGGAUUGUUUCUUUCUUAGAUAACAUUUUGGACCACGAUUGCACCACAUGUUUUGUUUUUGCAAACUCUUUUGUAAAUCCUUUUCAAAGUUCUUUUGCAAAUGGUCAAAGGUAAAUGAAUAUGAUUUUGCAAAGCUUUUUCGAGAUUUGAAAUUUUCUCCCCCUGUUUCAAAUGCUUUUUCCUUUGACUAAACAAAACUCCCCCUAAAGGAGAUCCACCUCUUAGUGUUCAAGAGGGUUUUGAUAUACAUUUUUGAAAAACUAAUUUUCUUCUCCUUUUGAACACAAUAGGAUACCAGUUGAUAAAUACUUUUGGAAAGCACUAAGUUUUUUUUGAAAAUGGUGGUGGUGCGGUCCUUUUGCUUUGGGCUCAUUUCUCCCCCUUUUUGGCAUGAAUCGCCAAAAACGGAAUCAUUAGAGCCCUCGAAGUACUAUCUUCCCCUUUGGUCAUAAGUAAAUGAGUUAAGAUUAUACCAAAGAUGAAGUCCGGUCCGUUUGCUUGGGGCUUUUACUCUCUCCCCCAAAGACAAGGUCCUUUUCUUGGAGUGAUGGCGAAGGAUGAGUUACGGAGUGGAAGCCUUUGUCUUUCGCCGAAGACUCCAAUUCCCUUUCAAUAUACCUAUGACUUGGUUUGAAAUAGACUUGAAGACACAUUAGUCAUAUCAAAAAGUAUGAAUGAGCUAUGUGUGCAAUCUAGCAAAAGAAGUUGCGAGAAUCAAGAAUAUUGAGCUCAUGCCUAAGUUUGGUAAAGGUUUGUUCAUCAAGAGGCUUGGUAAAGAUAUCGGCUAAUUGAUCUUUAGUGUUAAUGUAUGAAAUCUCGAUAUCUCCCUUUUGUUGGUGAUCCCUAAGAAAAUGAUACCGAAUGGCUAUGUGCUUAGUGCGGCUAUGCUCGACGGGAUUGUCGGCCAUUUUGAUUGCACUCUCAUUAUCACAUAGCAAAGGGACUUUGGUUAAUUUGUAACCAUAGUCCCGCAGGGUUUGCCUCAUCCAAAGCAAUUGCGCGCAACAAUGGCCUGCGGCAAUGUACUCGGCUUCGGCGGUGGAAAGAGCGACCGAAUUUUGCUUCUUUGAAGCCCAAGACACUAAGGAUCUUCCCAAGAACUGGCAAGUCCCCGAUGUGCUCUUUCUAUUAAUCUUACACCCUGCCCAAUCGGCAUCCGAAUAACCAAUCAAAUCAAAUGUGGAUCCCCGAGGGUACCAAAGCCCAAACUUAGGUGUAUAAGCCAAAUAUCUCAAGAUUCGUUUUACGGCCGUAAGGUGGGAUUCCUUAGGGUCGGAUUGGAAUCUUGCACACAUGCAAACGGAAAGCAUAAUGUCCGGUCGAGAUGCACAUAAGUAAAGCAAUGACCCAAUCAUCGACCGGUAUACCUUUUGAUCCACGGACUUACCUCCCGUGUCGAGGUCGAGAUGCCCAUUGGUUCCCAUGGGUGUCUUGAUAGGCUUGGCAUCCUUCAUUCCAAACUUGCUUAGGAUGUCUUGAGUGUACUUCGUUUGGCUAAUGAAGGUGCCCUCUUGGAGUUGCUUUACUUGGAAUCCUAAGAAAUACUUCAACUCCCCCAUCAUAGACAUCUCGAAUUUCUGUGUCAUAAUCCUACUAAACUCUUCACAUGUAGACUCGUUAGUAGACCCAAAUAUAAUAUCAUCAACAUAAAUUUGGCAUACAAACAAGUCAUUUUCAAGAGUUUUAGUAAAGAGUGUAGGAUCGGCUUUUCCGACUUUGAAGCCAUUAGCAAUGAGGAAAUCUCUAAGGCAUUCAUACCAUGCUCUUGGGGCUUGUUUGAGCCCAUAAAGCGCCUUAGAGAGCCUAUAGACAUGGUUAGGGUACUCACUGUCUUCAAAGCCGGGAGGUUGCUCAACGUAGACCUCUUCCUUGAUUGGUCCAUUGAGGAAGGCACUUUUCACGUCCAUUUGAUAAAGCUUAAAGCCAUGGUAAGUAGCAUAGGCUAAUAAUAUGCGAAUUGACUCAAGCCUAGCUACGGGUGCAUAGGUUUCACCGAAAUCCAAACCUUCGACUUGGGAGUAUCCCUUGGCCACAAGUCGUGCUUUGUUCCUUGUCACCACACCAUGCUCAUCUUGCUUGUUGCGGAAGACCCAUUUGGUUCCUACAACAUUUUGGUUAGGACGUGGAACCAAAUGCCAUACCUCAUUUCUAGUGAAGUUGUUGAGCUCCUCUUGCAUCGCCACCACCCAAUCCGAAUCUUGGAGAGCUUCCUCUACCCUGUGUGGCUCAAUAGAGGAAACAAAAGAGUAAUGUUCACAAAAAUGAGCAACCCGAGAUCUAGUAGUUACCCCCUUAUGAAUGUCGCCGAGGAUGGUGUCGACGGGGUGAUCUCGUUGGAUUGCUUGGUGGACUCUUGGGUGUGGCGGUCUUUGCUCUUCAUCCUCCUUGUCUUGAUCAUUUGCAUCUCCCCCUUGAUCAUUGUCGUCAUCUUGAGGUGGCUCAUUUGCUUGAUCUUCUACUUCAUCAACUUGAGCUUCAUUCUCAUUUUGAGUUGGUGGAGAUGCUAGCGUGGAGGAGGAUGGUUGAUCUUGUGCAUGUGGAGGCUCUUCGGAUUCCUUAGGACACACAUCCCCGAUGGACAUGUUCCUUAGCGCUAUGCAUGGAGCCUGUUCUUCACCUAUCUCAUCAAAAUCAACUUGCUCUACUUGAGAGCCGUUAGUUUCGUCAAACACAACGUCACAAGAAACUUCAACAAGUCCUGAGGACUUGUUAAAGACUCUAUAUGCCUUUGUGUUUGAGUCAUAUCCUAGUAAAAAGCCUUCUACAGUUUUAGGAGCAAAUUUAGAUUUUCUACCUCUCUUAACAAGAAUAAAGCAUUUGCUACCAAAAACUCUAAAGUAUGAAAUGUUGGGCUUUUUACCGGUUAGGAGUUCAUAUGAUGUCUUCUUGAGGAUUCGGUGAAGAUAUAACCGGUUGAUGGCGUAGCAGGCGGUGUUGACUGCUUCGGCCCAAAACCGGUCCGAAGUCUUGUACUCAUCAAGCAUGGUCCUUGCCAUGUCCAAAAGAGUUCGAUUCUUCCUCUCCACUACACCAUUUUGUUGAGGCGUGUAGGGAGAGGAGAACUCAUGCUUGAUGCCCUCCUCCUCAAGGAAGCCUUCGAUUUGAGAGUUCUUGAACUCCGUCCCGUUGUCGCUUCUAAUUUUCUUGAUCCUUAAGCCGAACUCAUUUUGAGCCCGUCUCAAGAAUCCUUUUAAGGUCUCUUGGGUUUGAGAUUUUUCCUGUAAAAAGAAUACCCAAGUGAAGCGAGAAUAAUCAUCCACUAUUACAAGACAAUACUUACUCCCGCCGAUGCUUAUGUAAGCAAUCGGGCCGAAUAGAUCCAUGUGGAGUAGCUCAAGCGGCCUGUCGGUCGUCAUGAUGUUCUUGUGUGGAUGAUGGGUGCCAACUUGCUUCCCGGCUUGGCAUGCGCUACAAAUCCUGUCUUUCUCAAAAUGAACAUUUGUUAGUCCUAAAAUGUGCUCUCCCUUUAGAAGCUUAUGAAGAUUCUUCAUCCCAACAUGGGCUAGUCGGCGGUGCCAGAGCCAACCCAUGUUAGUCUUAGCAAUCAAGCAAGUGUCGAGUUCAGCUCUAUCAAAAUCCACCAAGUAUAGCUGACCCUCUAACACUCCCUUGAAUGCUAUUGAAUCAUCACUUCUUCUAAAGACAGUAACACCUACAUCAGUAAAUAGACAGUUGUAGCCCAUUUGGCAUAAUUGAGAUACGGAAAGCAAAUUGUAAUCUAAAGAAUCAACAAGAAAAACAUUGGAAAUAGAAUGGUCAGGAGAUAUAGCAAUUUUACCAAGUCCUUUGACCAAACCUUGAUUUCCAUCCCCGAAUGUGAUUGCUCUUUGGGGAUCUUGGUUUUUCUCAUAUGAGGAGAACAUCCUUUUCUCCCCUGUCAUGUGGUUUGUGCACCCGCUGUCGAGUAUCCAACUUGAGCCCCCGGAUGCAUAAACCUACAAAACAAAUUUAGUUCUUGAUUUUAGGUACCCAAACUGUUUUGGGUCCUUUGGCAUUAGAAACAAGAACUUUGGGUACCCAAACACAAGUCUUUGACCCCUUGUGUUUGCCCCCAACAAAUUUGGCAACUAUUUUGCCGGAUUUGCUUGUAAGCACAUAAGAAGCAUCAAAAGUUUUAAAUGAAAUAGCAUGAUCAUUUGAUGCAAUAGGAGUUUUCUUUCUAGGCAACUUGGCACGGGUUGGUUGCCUAGAGCUAGAUGUCUCACCCUUAUACAUAAAAGCAUGAUUAGGGCCAGAGUGAGACUUCCUAGAAUGAAUUUUCCUAAUUUUGCUCUCGGGAUAACCGGCAGGGUACAAAAUGUAGCCCUCGUUAUCCUGAGGCAUGGGAGCCUUGCCCUUAACAAAGUUAGACAAGUUCUUAGGAGGGACAUUAAGUUUGACAUUGUCUCCCCUUUGGAAGCCAAUGCCAUCCUUGAUGCCAGGGCGUCUUCCAUUGUAAAGCAUGCUACGAGCAAAUUUAAAUUUCUCAUUUUCUAAGUUGUGCUCGGCAAUUUUAGCAUCUAAUUUUGCUAUAUGAUCAUUUUGUUGUUUAAUUAAAGCCAUAUGAUCAUGACUAGCAUUAACAUCAACAUCUCUAUAUCUAGUACAAAUAGAUACAUGCUCAACAAUAGAUGUAGAGGGUUUGCAAGAAUUAAGUUCAACAAUCUUAGCAUGAAGAAUAUCAUUUUUAUCUCUAAGAUUGGAAAUGGUAGCUUUGCAAACAUCAAAAUCUUUAGCCUUAGCAAUCAAAUUUUCAUUCUCUAAUCUAAGGCUAGCAAGAGAAAUGUUUAAUUCUUCAAUCCUAGCAAGCAAAUCAUCAUUAUUAUCUCUAGGAUUGGGAAUUGAAACAUUACAAACAUGAGAAUCAACCUUAGCAUUUAAACUAGCAUUUUCAUUUCUAAGGUUGUCAAUCAUCUCACGGCAAGUGCUUAGCUCACUAGACAAUUUUUCACAUUUUUCAACUUGUAGAGCAUAAGCAUUUUUAACCUUAACAUGUUUCUUGUUUUCUUUAAUUAGAUAAUCCUCUUGGGAGUCCAAAAGGUCAUCCUUUUCAUGAAUAGCACUAAUUAAUUCAUUUAAUUUUUCUUUUUGCUCCAUGUUAAGAUUGGCAAAGAGAACACGCAAAUUAUCCUCCUCAUCACUAUUAUUAUCAUCACUAGAAGACUCAUAUUUAGUAGAGGAGUUAGAUUUGACCUUCUUCCGUUUGCCGUCCUUUGCCAUGAGGCACUUGUGGCCGACGUUGGGGAAGAGAAGUCCCUUGGUGACGGCGAUGUUGGCGGCGUCCUCGUCGUCGGAGGAGUCGCUUGAGCUUUCGUCGGAAUCCCACUCCCGACAAACAUGGGCAUCGCCGCCCUUCUUCUUGUAGUACUUCUUUUUCUCCUUUCUUCUCCCCUUCUUGUCGUUACCUCGGUCACUGUCACUAGAUAUAGGACAUUUAGCAAUAAAAUGACCGGGCUUACCACACUUGUAGCAAACCUUCUUGGAGCGGGACUUGUAAUCCUUCCCCCUCCUUUGCUUGAGGAUUUGGCGGAAGCUCUUGAUGACGAGCGCCAUUUCCUCAUUGUCGAGCUUGGAGGCGUCUAUUGGUUGUCGACUUGGUGUAGACUCCUCCUUCUUCUCCUCCGUUGCCUUGAAUGCAACGGGUUGAGCUUCGGAUGUGGUGGCAUCAUCAAGCUCGUUGAUCUUCCUCGAGCCUUCGAUCAUGCACUCAAAACUCACAAAAUUCCCGAUAACUUCCUCGGGGGUCAUUUUAGUAUAUCUAGGAUUACCACGGAUUAAUUGAACUUGAGUAGGGUUAAGGAAAAUAAGAGAUCUUAGAAUAACCUUAACCAUCUCGUGGUCAUCCCACUUUACGCUCCCGAGGUUGCGUACUUGAUUCACCAAGGUCUUGAGCCGAUUGUACAUGUGUUGUGGCUCCUCCCCUUUGCGAAGCCGGAACCGACCGAGCUCCCCCUCGAUCGUUUCCCGCUUGGUGAUCUUGGUAAGCUCGUCUCCCUCGUGCGCGGUUUUGAGCACAUCCCAAAUCUCCUUGGCGCUCUUCAACCCUUGUACUUUGUUAUACUCCUCUCUACUUAGAGAGGCGAGGAGUAUUGUUGUUGCUUGAGAGUUGAAGUGCUCGAUUUGGGCCACCUCAUCCUCAUCAUAGUCCUCAUCCCCUACUGACGGUACCUGUGCACCAAACUCAACAACAUCCCAUAUACUUUUGUGGAGCGAGGUUAGAUGAAAUCGCAUUAAAUCGCUCCACCUAGCGUAAUCUUCACCAUCAAAAGUUGGUGGUUUGCCUAAUGGGACGGAAAGUAAAGGUGUAUGUUUGGAAAUGCGAGGGUAAUGUAGGGGGAUCUUACUAUACUUCUUGCGCUCUUGGCGCUUAGAAGUGACGGAGGGCACAUCGGAGUCGGAGGUUGAUGUUGAUGAAGUGUCGGUCUCGUAGUAGACCACUUUCCUCAUCCUCUUGUGCUUGCCGCCUUUCCGAUGCGGCUUGUGGGAAGAAGAUUUCUCCUUCUUCUCUUUGUGGUGAGAAGAGGAAGACUUUUUCUCCUUCGGUUUGGAGGAGUCCUUCUUCUUCUCCUUCCUCUUGGUGCGGGACUCUUCCGAUGAAGUGCUCCCGUGGCUUGUAGUGGGCUUUUCGCCGAUCUCCAUCUCCUUCUUGGCGUGAUCUCCCGACAUCACUUCGAGCGGUUAGGCUCUAAUGAAGCACCGGGCUCCGAUACCAAUUGAAAGUCGCCUAGAGGGGGGGUGAAUAGGGCGAAACUGAAAUUUACAAAUAUAAACACAACUACAAGCCGGGUUAGUGUUAGAAAUAUAAACGAGUCCGUGAGAGAGGCGCAAAACAAAUCCCACGCGAAUAAGCAAGUGAGACACGGAGAUUUGUUUUACCGAGGUUCGGUUCUUGCAAACCUACUCCCCGUUGAGGAGGCCACAAAGGCCGGGUCUCUUUCAACCCUUCCCUCUCUCAAACGAUCCACGGAUCGAGUGAGCUUUCUCUUCUCAAUCACUUGGAACACAAAGUUCCCACAAGGACCACCACAAGUUUGGUGUCUCUUGCCUCAAUUACAAGUGAGUUUGAUUGCAAAGAAAAGAUCAAGAAAGAAGAAAGCAAUCCAAGUGCCAGAGCUCGAAAGAACACAAGCAAAUCACUCUCUCUAAGCACUAUGGCGUUGUGUGGAAUUUGGAGAGGAUUUGAUCUCUUUGGUGUGUCUAGAAUUGAAUGCUAGAGCUCUUGUAGUAGUUGAGAAGUGGAAAACUUGGAUGCAAUGAAUGGUGGGGUGGUUGGGGUAUUUAUAGCCCCAACCACCAAAAGUGGCCGUUGGGAGGCUGUCUGCUCGAUGGCGCACCGGACAGUCCGGUGCACACCGGACAGUCCGGUGCCCCCUGCCACGUCAUCACUGCCGUUGGAUUCUGACCGUUGGAGCUUCUGACUUGUGGGCCCGCCUGGGUGUCCGGUGCACACCGGACAGGUACUGUUCCUUGUCCGGUGUGCCAGUAUGGGCACGCCUGCCAUCUGCGCGCGCAGAGCGCGCAUUUAUUGCGUGGCAGAGAGCCGUUGGCGCGGAGAUAGCCGUUGCACCGGAGUCGCACCGGACAGUCCGGUGCACACCGGACAGUCCGGUGAAUUAUAGUGGACUUAGCCGUUGGCGUUUCCCGAAGCUGGCGAGUUCCUGAGGCCGACCUCCCUUGGCGCACCGGACACUGUCCGGUGUACACCGGACAGUCCGGUGAAUUAUAGUGGACUUAGCCGUUGGCGUUUCCCGAAGCUGGCGAGUUCCUGAGGCCGACCUCCCUUGGCGCACCGGACACUGUCCGGUGUACACCGGACAGUCCGGUGAAUUAUAGCCGAGUCGCCUUUGGGAAUUCCCGAAGGUGGCGAGUUUGAGUCUGAGUCCCCCUGGCGCACCGGACAUGUACGGUGGCGCACCGGACAGUCCGGUGCGCCAGACCAGGGGUGCCUUCGGUUGCCCCUUUGCUCCUUUGUUGAAUCCAAAACUUAGUCUUUUUAUUGGCUGAGUGUGAACCUUUUACACCUGUAUAAUCUAUACACUUGGGCAAACUAGUUAGUCCAAAGAUUUGUGUUGGGCAAUCCAACCACCAAAAUUAUAUAGGAACUAGGUGUAACCCUAAUUCCCUUUCAAUAGCUGUAUCCACAGGGAUGAGAAUAAUAAGUAUAUGAGAUAAGCAUAGCAUCUCUCUAGAUAAUGUCAAAACUAGCACAGAGAAUAACAUAAUCAUAUCAAUAGCAAGACCGAAAACCCAUCCUACAUGUGCAGUGUGUCAAUUUAUUACUACUCCACUUGCUAGGACCUACAGCCUAUGCUCUGAUACCAACUGUAACACCCCACUGAUCCCACACAAUGGAUGAUACCAAAAAAAAAACCUUUCUACAAAACUUAUGCAACACAUAGAGAAAGAAAGUAUUGCAAAAUCCGGCAGCACCUCCCUUGAAAGUAGCAUAACAAGGGAAGCAUAUAGUUUAUACAGGAUAUAAAAGAAAGAUAAUUGACAUAGUAUAAUCAAAAUGCAACGGUAGAAAAGAACAUUCAUGACCAGACAAAAGAUAGACAUCUCAGCCCACCAAACUAAACAGUUCAACUACCAUGAAAGAUUAGAAUGUAAUAAUUCCCUAGACUUGACCCUUCCUGUUUAACAUCAUUAAUAAUCAGUUAUUCCUUUAUUUAAAAGUGUGGUGGCCGUGCUGCUACAUCCCUUCUUUCCCAAAGCAAAGAUCGGGUGCCUGCAUCAGACAAUGCAAGAGUGAGAUGAUACAUCUCAGCAAGUAAAAAAAACAAACAACAGUGGACAAUGCAAGCCAACCGUGCAUAAGCAACCACAUGGUUCCCAACUUCUUCCUUAAAUAUUAAUUUGCAGCAAGUAAGCAAGUAAUCAAUUACUCAAUGCCAAGAUGAAUUACAAAGUAAAGAUCCACCUUAUCCACAUCACCAAAAUAGGUUCCACACUUCACCCAUGAAUGCACAUGGCUACAGAUGCAACAUGACUUCUGCCUUCAUACCUCUAAGGAUAUGAAGCUGCAUCAUACCCCUUCUCGGGAAACAUAUGAUGCUCAUUGUACCGGUACGGUCGGACCAUAAGAUCGCGACGAAAACUUCAAUGCAAUGGAUGAUGAAUGCAUUAUGCAUGUCAACAACAUGAGUUCUUCCCAAAUAAAAUGUGCUAGACAUAUACUUCCACCCAUUUCACAUCAAUAACCACAUGGGUAACAUGAUCAAACCACACCCUCCACAUGUAUAAUCAAUAAAGCAUGAAUAAUUUCAAACGAUGGUACCCAAUUAGGAAUAUGGAUACGAACACAAAUAGCACAAACAUAAUCAAGUAUGAGACUCUUCAAUCAAAAGACGAAAUAACCAUCACUGUUUUACUUGCCUUUACCGAAGUUCGGGCAAAAUCUCUAAGAACGAUCCGGAAGUCCACCACCUGUUUUUGACACCCAACUUAGUGCACCAAAUUCUCAUGAAAAAAAAACUCAAAGACAACACCGCACCUACGCGCAAUCUCAAACCCCGCCGCGGUAACAAUUCUCCCCUCACUAACCAAACUGCAGCGGCGCUGCUUAACAAUUCCAUAACUUAAAAUUUAGGACAGCAGUGAUGAUAAACAAAAACUUCAGAGACAACUACAUAAAAUUCCCCACAAGUUUUGUAUACAACUCAUGAUUGAAUUCUAACAUCUACUUACCUCUAAACGGUCCUCAAAAUAAACCCUGCAAUCUGUUUUUUUUCUGAUUUGAGCAGCGUCAUACGCGGAUUCAAACAGCGAUAACUUUUAAAAUAUAAUUCCGAUUUGAGCGCAUAAGUACUUGUUGGAAAGAUAAGAAAAAGCCCUACAUGAUUCUCAUACUGAUUAACACUAAUUACUCCCGAAACAUCCCCAGAAACUGCUAACACUGCUGCUGUUCAUCACUCUGAAAAAUCUGUUUUCUGGACAGCCACAUACCCGGAUUCAAACGAUCAUAACUUUUAAUUUAUAACUCCAAAUUGAGCGCAUAAAUACUCGUUGGAAAGAUAAAACAAAGUUCUACAAGAUUCUCAUACUGAUUAACACUAAUUGCUCCCGAAAAAUCCCUAGAAACUGCUAACACUGCUGCUGUUCAUCACUCUGAAAAAUCUGUUUUCUGGACAGCCACAUACCCGGAUUCAAACGAUGAUAACUUUUAAUUUAUAACUCCAAAUUGAGCGCAUAAAUACUCGUUGGAAAGAUAAAACAAAGUUCUACAAGAUUCCUAAAUUGAUCCCCAUUAAAUCUUCACGAAAAAAAACUAAAAACUGCUGGAACUACCGCUGUUCAUCCACCACGCAAAAUUCUGGACAGCCCCCCUCUAUCUAAUCGCAAACGCAACAUCUAAUCAAUUGAAUCGCAGCGCAAAUGAACAAGGGAUGAACACAAAAGAAAAAUCACCUGGGUUCUCUCCUUUUCCUUCCUCCCUUCUUCCUUCCACCAAAACGAUUGGAGAUUCGCACCAAAAGACGAUGAUCCGAGCGGCACGGAGUAGCACCUAGGGAGGAGGGGAUUGGGGGGGGCUAGGGUUUUGGUGGCUGCAACAAUGGAGGGAGGAGGAGGUGGGCAGGGGGGACGGCGGCCAAGG